AUGGAGACAAGCGUGGCGUCCAUCCAGCGCUUCGUGGCUCACCACUACGAUGCCGGCGAGCUCGGCCCGUCUAGGUUCUUCAUGACCUCCGUGCACCGCGUUGGAAUCCUCGACGUGCGCCUCCUCAAUAUCGACCGCCACGCCGGCAACAUCCUCGUCAAGAAUCCGCCCACCAGUGGCUGUGCCGCGGACGGCAGCACGUCGGCGCCGCUGGAGCUCGUGCCGAUCGACCAUGGCCUCUGUCUCCCUGAGGAGCUUGACGACCCGUACUUUUAA
This 276-nucleotide ribosomal RNA is filed under the name Triticum aestivum (bread wheat). Its description in RNAcentral is "partial small subunit ribosomal RNA". Lineage: Eukaryota; Viridiplantae; Streptophyta; Magnoliopsida; Poales; Poaceae. The record is from RNAcentral.